Molecule: ribosomal RNA, 497 nt
Filed under: uncultured bacterium
Lineage: Bacteria
Description: partial 16S ribosomal RNA
Rfam family: Bacterial small subunit ribosomal RNA
Source: RNAcentral
GAUGAACGCUGGCGGCGUGCCUAAUACAUGCAAGUCGAGCGAACGGACGAGAAGCUUGCUUUUCUGAUGUUAGCGGCGGACGGGUGAGUAACACGUGGAUAACCUACCUAUAAGACUGGGAUAACUUCGGGAAACCGGAGCUAAUACCGGAUAAUAUUUUGAACCGCAUGGUUCAAAAGUGAAAGACGGUCUUGCUGUCACUUAUAGAUGGAUCCGCGCUGCAUUAGCUAGUUGGUAAGGUAACGGCUUACCAAGGCAACGAUGCAUAGCCGACCUGAGAGGGUGAUCGGCCACACUGGAACUGAGACACGGUCCAGACUCCUACGGGAGGCAGCAGUAGGGAAUCUUCCGCAAUGGGCGAAAGGCUGACGGAGCAACGCCGCGUGAGUGAUGAAGGUCUUCGGAUCGUAAAACUCUGUUAUUAGGGAAGAACAUAUGUGUAAGUAACUGUGAACAUCUUGACGGUACCUAAUCAGAAAGCCACGGCUAACUGCGUG